CCUACGGGUGGCAGCAGUGGGGAAUAUUGGGCAAUGGGCGCAAGCCUGACCCAGCAACGCCGCGUGAAGGAAGAAGGCUUUCGGGUUGGAAACUUCUUUUCUCAGGGACGAAGAAAGUGACGGUACCGGAGGAAUAAGCCACGGCUAACUACGGGCCAGCAGCCGCGGUAAUACGGAGGUGGCAAGCGUUAUCCGGAUUUAAUGGGUGUAAAGGGCGUGUAGGCGGGAACGCAAGUCAGAUGUGAAAACUCCGGGGUCAACCCUGGGCCUGCAUUUGAAACUGGGUUUCUUGAGUGCUGGAGAGGCAAGCGGAAUUCCGGGUGUAGCGGUGAAAUGCGUAGAUAUACGGAGGAACACCAGUGGCGAAGGCGGAUUGCUGGACAGUAACUGACGCUGAGGCGCGAAAGUGCGGGGAGCAAACAGGAUUAGAUACCCUAGUAGUC
RNAcentral lists this ribosomal RNA (443 nucleotides) under uncultured bacterium. RNAcentral describes it as "partial 16S ribosomal RNA". It matches the Rfam family "Bacterial small subunit ribosomal RNA", at positions 338 to 795 of the family's 1533-position model. The record is from RNAcentral.